GGGGGGGGGGGUUGACCUGGUUGGUGCCAAUGAGGUACAGGUGGAAGCCGGUGAGGCCGCCGACGAACCAGAGAGAGAUGAAGCAGUAGGUCAUGAGAAUGACAGAGGCUGGAGACUCUUUCAUGGCCUUCCAGACCGUUGGGUAAUCGUCGUCCAUGAGAAACUUGAUGUAGAGCGCCGACAUGACGAACACGAAGAUGCAGAGGGCCGUUGAUGAUGAGACGAACAUGAAGAAAUAACGGUAGUUCCGCUGCAUCCAAAUAAAUUCAGGAGAUAACUUCCAAAUAGAAAAAAACAAUUUUUUUUAAAAAAUCAGAGAGCCCAGCUUCUUUAGCCUAGCUAAUGGCAAUUUUUCUGGAUAUUAUUUCUCAGAUGUUCACUGGAAAAUUGUCCCAAAUAGGAAAAAAAAUAAAUCUGAUAAUCUUUUUUUUUUUGCAAGCGGUUAAUGCAUGGUCAGAGAUUCUAGAAAUAUAUAGAAGGCUACUGAAUUAAUACGAUCGUAGAUGCAUAUAAGUUGUGGCUGGAGCAGGUAAGAAAUUAGGAAGAGAAGAGCCUGACGGGCCCACCUGUCCAAUGCACUGCCCGACCCAGGGGCAGUGAUGGUCGAACCGCUCCACACAGUUAUCACAUAUCGAGCAAUGAGAGCACCGAGGGGGACGGUAGAGCAUGCACGUCUCACAGUAUUUGACUUUGACCGUCCUGCCGUUGACCAUGACUUCCUUGAAUCUUGGAAACUGUAGGCUCGGGGUAGGCCUGGCCCCAGCGUCAGCUGCAUUAGAAGGAUCAUAGGAAAGCUCUUCCUCCGGGGGAUGUGAUGCACGUGGGAUAAUACCAGGAUCCCUGGAUGAUGUCAUAAGCAGGAGCACCAGCACCUGCAUCGGCCGUCAUUACCGCAAAUAGGAUGUAAAAUUGUCGGCUGGCUGAAAUGUCUUCAUCACAAUGCCAAAUUAAGGAAACAGGAUAACCAAACGAAGAAACAAAUAAAUCUACACGAAUAUUAGAUGGUUAUGAAGGUUUACAAAAGGAAAAAAUGUGAAUUGGUAUGUUAAUUAUCACUUGAAUUUCGUAUAUUACUUGAAUUGGUAUAAUAAUGAAGACAGGCCUGCUGUGGUUUAAUUAAUUGCAUGCCCAUACUUAUUGAGGCAACCAGGGGGGCAUGGAAUACUUACAUUGACAGUAAAAGCGAUUGUUAUGGCAAGAACAGCAUAUCCCGCAUUAUAUGAAGAAAAUCUGUGCAGAAGAUUCUUUACGACGAACACGCAAAAGAUAACAACGGGCACAACAAUGAGCGAUAUGGUCAUGAGCAGCGACUUCGCAUCGGGUCCGAAUAUACAUCUCCCACCAAAGAAGAACUUCUGGUAAAAGAAAAAAAAACGGUGAUGUGAUGUUAUUUCUGCUGCUUUGAUGAAUCAGUUAUUAGAACGAAAUGUAAGAAUAAAAAGGACAGAGGCCAUAUGAGAAGGUGAUUAAAUCACUAUUGUGUCGGUUCAUACGAGAGCCUGCAGGUAAAUCUUAAGGGAAAUGAGAUUUAAUUUUUUUCAGCCAAUGAUAGAAAUCCCAAGCAUGCUGAUAAGGUCAAGAUGAACUAUCUUAAGGAGUAAAACCUUAAGUGGUAUGUAGUAAUAAAGAUCAUCAAAUGCAGACGGUAUCUAUACAAUUAGUGCAGGUGAAAAUCAUAUGACAGGAGAAAAAGGAAUUUUAAGAUCUUCGGCGACAUAAAAAAUGCUGUACACUCAGAUCGAUAAGCACUACAGAUACAAGUGCUGUAUUGAGUACAGAAAUCAUUUCCCAAAAUCAAAUUGGGCCACUGAUUCCGACCAGCCUCCAAUCCCUACCUCUUUCAGAAAACAAACUUCCUAGUCAAGCAAGGUUUUUUUAACACUUUAUAAAGAAGUUGCAAAAUGUAUAUGAUUCACUUGAACCACGCAAUACAGGCAUGCAUCACUCGCCUCUUCCAGCCUUUCCUUCCCUCUCACAACCCUCUUCUCUUCAAACCUUUUCCUUUUUUCUUAUGCAGCGGCAUCCACCACCAGCAGCAACAGCCAGGAGACAUUACCACUACCAAACGAGCAGGCACACAACGCAGCAAACUGCAGAUGAGGAAAAACGAGCAUCAUGGCUUUCCAUCACUGGCAGCAGGAAAAAGCCCACAGAUAAUAUCACCACGGGCAGAGCCUGAUCUGAUCAUUGAUUCAGAUCUGAUUGGUUAUCAUCAAAUCAGAAUGAGCAACAGGACAAGUACCCAGGACCCAAACAGUGAAGGGAAAGGAUCAAUGAGCAAAGAACAGACCAGGGUUAUUCUAUAUGUCCAAACAUUAAAUUGAGCCAUCUUAUCGUUUUAUGUAGAGCCCAUGUACGUAUAAAAACUGGUUAACAUUGGAUUUAUCAAUCGGCCUGGUAUUGCUUUUCUUAAAAACAAUACCCAGGUACUGUGAAUUGUGAUGCUUCUGAAAUCACUUCAAGGUGCCUUUCAAAUAGUUACCUGCCAUCUUCCCCUCUUCUAGUGGCCUUCAGCAUUUCAACUCGAAUACCAGGAACCUGAGAAUUUGACACGCGCCAGUUACCAGCCACACCCAUUCCAUUUUUAACAGGUAUCUGAAUCAAUCCCAAACAGCUCCGUCCAUUAUCCUCACGGGACAAGCUCCACUCUAGACAUGUCUUUAUCUUCCUUGAACUGAAAUAAGUCGGUUGUUAGAAUAGGUAUCUGCUCUGCACCAACGGACCCAGUCGACUCAUUCUCAUAUUAACCGAGUGUUCUCCACCACUCUCUCCAAUAUCUCAUCUUAUGACACGCAUAAUCUUAAGCAUCUAUCACUAAGAUGGGAUCAGAGAAGGGUUAUGUUUUCGGUAGCUUUUCUGGCCCUGGUUUAGGAGAUCGAGGAGGUGGGCAAGUAUUCCAACUUCUCACAGAAUUCAUAAUGCUGCCAGCAUCACGCAAGCAUCUGGUUUUAAUUUUUUUGUCCAUGCCUUCUCUUUCCUCUGCCCACACAAUCCUGUGCACCAUUUCUCAUUUCUAUCAGAUCGUGCGAUUUCAACUGUUGCAUUCACGCCUUAUGCACAGUAUCUCUUCAUUCUUCAUUCACGCCUAAGGCCCUCCAAUCUGUAGAUUGCCUCUACUUCCGGAAUUAUGGUCACAUAGAGUCCUUCCAAAAUGCACAUUUGAUCACCAUCUGGCUAUUAUUUUAUGCAUCAGCAUUACGGACCAUGCAUGUUUUCAUACAUUAUUGAGAACAUGAAACUAUUCUGGAUGAGAUUGUUCAUACCUAUUGUCCUCCUACAAGACUGUCAUGAAAGAGGUUAUCAUCCACAUCCCAGCUUGGUUUCUUCUCACAAAGCUGCCAUGAAUGAAGUUAUACAUGCAUGGUUGUGAUCUUCUCAUAUUAUUGUCAUGAACAAGUAAAUCCCUACAUGCAUGCACGAUGUCUUCUUAAAGGAUUAUCGCAAAUGAGUUUAUUGCUUUCUUCCAAGUGAAGACCAUGCUUGGAAGGAGGGGGAAUCGGGACGAGGGAAGGUUGAAACUAAGUCACCCAUUGGAUGACCCCCAGGAAACCUGCCCUGCAUAAGGGAAACUUCUUUGGAUCCCACUGCCUUCGGUCAAUAAAAAAAUAACAUACAAACUGAAUGAACGUCACAUAAGAAGACGAUGAGAAAUACAUGUUUUUUAAAGGCACAUAAAUAAAUGAAACAGGAGUAACCUACCAUUGGUCAGCAUUUUCUUUCAUUCAAGAGGUUUUCAUUUUUUUAAUUGCGGACCAUCAAAGUGGAAUGCGAGACUGGCAAUCCUCAAAUAUGAACAUAAUAGUCGGUGUGAUUUGUUCGUCCCAAAUAGCAAAGUGUUUCAUACUUCUUGUGCAAAGCAUUCUAACUUAGGUAUAAGUAUACUCAAUCGAUUUCCAAGAUUUCUCCUCUACUGCGGGGCAACCAGCCUAUUGAUUUAAUGUGACCAGAUCCCCCAUCUUUUAUUGUGCACGCAUAUGGGGAGAAAGGCGACAGUAAACUAGAAAGAACGAUAAUAUGUUGAAAUUUGAGGGUCAAUUUUCCAAUUGUAUGUUAUUUCCUCGUUCAGGUGUUCUCAACGAUAUAUCAAAUGAUCCCUUCAUAUAAUACAUGCCGAACCUGGAAACCAAGUGGAGAAUACUGGAGUCCUCUGGUUGAUGGACAUGAUAUUUCCACUACGUUAUCUCUAAAGCUGGCUGUGAGAAUGCCGGAAUUCAGAUGGUAUUGUAGCGCAGUGAAAAACUCAGACAUAUGCCAACCAGUGACGUUUGCAAAGCUAUGGUUGAGGGUUACAUGAACGUAUGAGUUAUAAAAUGUAUGAAGCUAAUCAUCCUGCCCUCAAUAAAGCAUGGGGUCAAGGCUCAAUUAGAUGCACAACAGAAGCUGUCGGCACAUAAAUACAAUAAGAGACAGUUAGGGCGUCCAUACCAUAAACGUGCCAGUUAUACACUAUCCAUUGUUCAUGCGAUAGCACUACUACCAUCAGUGGCAAGGAUUUAUAGCUUAUGCUUGAAUCUCCCUGUCCCAAAUCAUUGUCAUAGUUGUGACGAAACAGCGUGAUUCAGCAAAAUGAGGAAUUUGAGCAAGUGACGAUCUAUCUGGGACCUUUCUGCCAGGCUCAAGAGUUUUAAUUUUGGCCAACUACGAUGGGGAGAUCUGGUGGAUCUUCCUGUAAAAUGCAGGAGUGCAUGGUGGCCUAGUUUGAUGCUCUCUGUGGGUACAAGAUACUAACAAUGAGGGAUGGACAAGCAAAUUUUUUUUGUAGUUUCUACAAGUCCCCUAUGAACCAAACCUGGAUUUUGAACCUGGUGGUUCAACUCUGAUAGAAAGUUGCGUAGAAUGUGAAGAUGAAACAAAAAAAAAGACUUAAGAUGGAGAGAAGAGAAGAAGAGUAAUUAAGAAUAUAUGGCUAUGGGCUUGGCAAUAAACAUAGACUACCUCCAUUCCAAAAUUGUCUCGCGGAACAAUGAUUAACAUGACCAUGAUUCAAGUAUGAUUAAAAACAUGAUAGCUAAGUUUGACCACCAUACUCAAAUAAAGUGUUACCUGCCACUGGCAUAUAGUACAUCAUUCAAAGAGUGUGGAAGGAUAAAUCGUGAUCAAGGUACCUUUGAUCUCCUAUGCAGUUUAUCUUUUUACUUCUUAUUUUUCUCGAGUUAGGUGAAAUAUUCCUCUCAUAUUCAGACUCAUGUUUUUUUCUUCCUUUGAGGUACUUAUGUUCCUCUCGGAGGAAGGAGGAGGGAGGAGGAAGAAGACGGAGGAAAGAGGAAUAAGGUAAGGAAAAUGUCAAACCAUCUCGAUGUAUUACUUAUCAUAGGAGAUAAAUUACAAGUUGCGCCAUUGGGAAUCAUAUUAGUCACAUCCUAGAAUGUUGAACAAAUGAAUUUUAUCAAUUUUUCGGGGAAAACGUCAGGUGAAUCAAAUCAUUCUGAACAAGAAAAUUUACAACGUGAUCACAGAGAUGUGAUCGAGACGAGGGAGGCAUGACAUCUUUAGAGCCAAAAUGUAGCAUAAGUUAUAGUAGAAAUAAUGGAAGUUACUGGUUCCUGUAUGAACAACAAAUGCUGCAUGUCAUUCGAAUAAUCAUAUUAGCUUGUCAGUUCACUCCUAGUACAUUAUUUUUGAACUAAAUGAUCUAAAUCUAGCCAAAUAAGAAACCGAGAAUCAGAAAACUUAUAAUACACCUUUUGUAAAUGGGGAAGGAGCAAGAAUGCAACGGGUCUAGAUUCCAAGAGAUACAUUGGAUGAAGAAGAAGGCAGCCCUCUCCAUAAAGAAAUUCGUAAGUGCAGAAAAUCAUCUGAAAUGUCCAAAACCAACAGAGAUCGUCGAAAAAAAUAACAAAAAGUUGGCCAGCACCUUAAAACCAACUUUUACUUCGACCCAAAAACGAAGGAGCCCAAACCCUCGACUGGCAAGAUUCAUCGGAACUACUGACGCCCGACGCGAAGCAAUCAAGUAAUGCGGAGCAUCAGUCCAUAGAAAAAAAUGAGAAACCACCAUAUCUCAAGCGAACCAACCAACUCGACACAAACUCGCCGCUACCUAAAUGAGCCGAAAAUUAAUCUACUAUGACCAAAUUCGAAACGACGGACAGCCAUUCCGAGUACAACAGAAACCCUACAGUUACGCACUGAAAUCGCACGCAUUGAAACUUCUGUAGAAACGCACCAACGGGAUCAACAUAGUAGAAGAUGAGAAAAUAAGACAGGUAAUACCAGGGGACGAUGCAAAACAUAAGACUGUGUCAUAUCUUACAUUUUUUCCUUUCCAGUCUUGGUAGAUUCGAUUGGCCAUGAGAACCAGCACUCGCUCUCACUAUUCUGGCAGGGAGUCAAAGAUACGGAACUCGCUCAUGUUCCCCAGGAAAUAGACAGGAUCCCAAGAGCGGAGGGAGAAAUAGGAUAAUGAAUCUGGCUUCCGAGCGCACUUCGCGAGUCCCCUUCCUCUCGAUGCCGGAGGUGAAGUGGGGAGACGGACUCCAGGCUCCUUUUCUCCCUUUCCCUCCCCGCAAAUGAUUUCCAACAGUCUCCUCCCACAGUAAAGGCGCGCCUCAGAGCGGAAGGGGGGGUGAGGGGGGGGGGGGAGCUCUGCGGCAAUACCUCCCGGAAACUGAACGACUAAGGACUUGAAAGGAUUCGGCCACGUUGAAUGAUUCACCGGGAUGCCCUUAUUGCCCUCCACCUCCUUACAAUUUACCUGCACAACUUUUUAUUCCCCGUCUUCCACCUGCAACUCGCCGCCGCUAGAUUUCCUGCUCCGCGUGGUUGGCCCGCCGUCGCAGAUCCUUCAAUUCUCGCAGUAAAUGCUCACCUCCUUCCGAAUCGGAAACUCUCGCGAUCUGGCGCCCCGAAGUCGAAGCUGGAGACGGCUAUUCCUCUAUCUCCUCUCUCCUCCAUGUCCACCUUGGCCUCGUGUGUUCCCCUUCCCUACCUCUUCUUCCUCUCCG
Molecule: long non-coding RNA, 6944 nt
Filed under: Spirodela polyrhiza (greater duckweed)
Lineage: Eukaryota; Viridiplantae; Streptophyta; Magnoliopsida; Alismatales; Araceae
Description: long non-coding RNA (SPOL_LNC000696)
Source: RNAcentral